Molecule: ribosomal RNA, 253 nt
Filed under: uncultured prokaryote
Description: partial 16S ribosomal RNA
Rfam family: Bacterial small subunit ribosomal RNA
Source: RNAcentral
ACGUAGGGUGCAAGCGUUGUCCGGAUUUACUGGGCGUAAAGAGCGCGUAGGCGGUCUGUUAAGUGAGAAGUGAAAGCUCUGGGCUCAACCCAAAAAUUGCUUUUCAUACUGGCAGACUGGAGUGAUGCAGAGGUUUGUGGAAUUCCUGGUGUAGCGGUGAAAUGCGUUGAUAUCAGGAGGAACACCGAUGGCGAAGGCAGCAAACUGGGCAUUAACUGACGCUGAGGCGCGAAAGCGUGGGUAGCAAACAGGA